GCCGGGGUGGCGGAACUGGCAGACGCACAGGACUUAAAAUCCUGCGGUCCUUAUAAGACCGUACCGGUUCGAUUCCGGUCUCCGGCACCA
This 90-nucleotide transfer RNA is filed under the name Maledivibacter halophilus. RNAcentral's name for it is "tRNA_Leu_TAA". It matches the Rfam family "tRNA". Rfam says of the family: Transfer RNA (tRNA) molecules are approximately 80 nucleotides in length. Their secondary structure includes four short double-helical elements and three loops (D, anti-codon, and T loops). The record is from RNAcentral. Lineage: Bacteria; Bacillati; Bacillota; Clostridia; Peptostreptococcales; Caminicellaceae.